RNAcentral lists this ribosomal RNA (2778 nucleotides) under human gut metagenome. RNAcentral's name for it is "bacterial LSU rRNA". It matches the Rfam family "Bacterial large subunit ribosomal RNA". The record is from RNAcentral.
AGCGUACACGGUGGAUGCCCUGGCAGUCAGAGGCGAUGAAGGACGUGCUAAUCUGCGAUAAGCGUCGGUAAGGUGAUAUGAACCGUUAUAACCGGCGAUUUCCGAAUGGGGAAACCCAGUGUGAUUCGUCACACUAUCAUUAACUGAAUCCAUAGGUUAAUGAGGCGAACCGGGGGAACUGAAACAUCUAAGUACCCCGAGGAAAAGAAAUCAACCGAGAUUCCCCCAGUAGCGGCGAGCGAACGGGGAGCAGCCCAGAGCCUGAAUCAGUGUGUGUGUUAGUGGAAGCGUCUGGAAAGGCGCGCGAUACAGGGUGACAGCCCCGUACACAAAAAUGCACAUGCUGUGAGCUCGAUGAGUAGGGCGGGACACGUGGUAUCCUGUCUGAAUAUGGGGGGACCAUCCUCCAAGGCUAAAUACUCCUGACUGACCGAUAGUGAACCAGUACCGUGAGGGAAAGGCGAAAAGAACCCCGGCGAGGGGAGUGAAAAAGAACCUGAAACCGUGUACGUACAAGCAGUGGGAGCACAGAGCAAUCUGUGUGACUGCGUACCUUUUGUAUAAUGGGUCAGCGACUUAUAUUCUGUAGCAAGGUUAACCGAAUAGGGGAGCCGAAGGGAAACCGAGUCUUAACUGGGCGUUAAGUUGCAGGGUAUAGACCCGAAACCCGGUGAUCUAGCCAUGGGCAGGUUGAAGGUUGGGUAACACUAACUGGAGGACCGAACCGACUAAUGUUGAAAAAUUAGCGGAUGACUUGUGGCUGGGGGUGAAAGGCCAAUCAAACCGGGAGAUAGCUGGUUCUCCCCGAAAGCUAUUUAGGUAGCGCCUCGUGAAUUCAUCUCCGGGGGUAGAGCACUGUUUCGGCAAGGGGGUCAUCCCGACUUACCAACCCGAUGCAAACUGCGAAUACCGGAGAAUGUUAUCACGGGAGACACACGGCGGGUGCUAACGUCCGUCGUGAAGAGGGAAACAACCCAGACCGCCAGCUAAGGUCCCAAAGUCAUGGUUAAGUGGGAAACGAUGUGGGAAGGCCCAGACAGCCAGGAUGUUGGCUUAGAAGCAGCCAUCAUUUAAAGAAAGCGUAAUAGCUCACUGGUCGAGUCGGCCUGCGCGGAAGAUGUAACGGGGCUAAACCAUGCACCGAAGCUGCGGCAGCGACGCUUAUGCGUUGUUGGGUAGGGGAGCGUUCUGUAAGCCUGCGAAGGUGUGCUGUGAGGCAUGCUGGAGGUAUCAGAAGUGCGAAUGCUGACAUAAGUAACGAUAAAGCGGGUGAAAAGCCCGCUCGCCGGAAGACCAAGGGUUCCUGUCCAACGUUAAUCGGGGCAGGGUGAGUCGACCCCUAAGGCGAGGCCGAAAGGCGUAGUCGAUGGGAAACAGGUUAAUAUUCCUGUACUUGGUGUUACUGCGAAGGGGGGACGGAGAAGGCUAUGUCAGCCGGGCGACGGUUGUCCCGGUUUAAGCAUGUAGGCGGAGGUUCCAGGUAAAUCCGGUACCUUAUUAACGCUGAGGUGUGAUGACGAGGCACUACGGUGCUGAAGUGAUAAAUGCCCUGCUUCCAGGAAAAGCCUCUAAGCAUCAGGUAACACGAAAUCGUACCCCAAACCGACACAGGUGGUCAGGUAGAGAAUACCAAGGCGCUUGAGAGAACUCGGGUGAAGGAACUAGGCAAAAUGGUGCCGUAACUUCGGGAGAAGGCACGCUGAUAUGUAGGUGAAGUCCCUCGCGGAUGGAGCUGAAAUCAGUCGAAGAUACCAGCUGGCUGCAACUGUUUAUUAAAAACACAGCACUGUGCAAACACGAAAGUGGACGUAUACGGUGUGACGCCUGCCCGGUGCCGGAAGGUUAAUUGAUGGGGUUAGCGCAAGCGAAGCUCUUGAUCGAAGCCCCGGUAAACGGCGGCCGUAACUAUAACGGUCCUAAGGUAGCGAAAUUCCUUGUCGGGUAAGUUCCGACCUGCACGAAUGGCGUAAUGAUGGCCAGGCUGUCUCCACCCGAGACUCAGUGAAAUUGAACUCGCUGUGAAGAUGCAGUGUACCCGCGGCAAGACGGAAAGACCCCGUGAACCUUUACUAUAGCUUGACACUGAACAUUGAGCCUUGAUGUGUAGGAUAGGUGGGAGGCUUUGAAGUGUGGACGCCAGUCUGCAUGGAGCCGACCUUGAAAUACCACCCUUUAAUGUUUGAUGUUCUAACGUUGACCCGUGAUCCGGGUUGCGGACAGUGUCUGGUGGGUAGUUUGACUGGGGCGGUCUCCUCCUAAAGAGUAACGGAGGAGCACGAAGGUUGGCUAAUCCUGGUCGGACAUCAGGAGGUUAGUGCAAUGGCAUAAGCCAGCUUGACUGCGAGCGUGACGGCGCGAGCAGGUGCGAAAGCAGGUCAUAGUGAUCCGGUGGUUCUGAAUGGAAGGGCCAUCGCUCAACGGAUAAAAGGUACUCCGGGGAUAACAGGCUGAUACCGCCCAAGAGUUCAUAUCGACGGCGGUGUUUGGCACCUCGAUGUCGGCUCAUCACAUCCUGGGGCUGAAGUAGGUCCCAAGGGUAUGGCUGUUCGCCAUUUAAAGUGGUACGCGAGCUGGGUUUAGAACGUCGUGAGACAGUUCGGUCCCUAUCUGCCGUGGGCGCUGGAGAACUGAGGGGGGCUGCUCCUAGUACGAGAGGACCGGAGUGGACGCAUCACUGGUGUUCGGGUUGUCAUGCCAAUGGCACUGCCCGGUAGCUAAAUGCGGAAGAGAUAAGUGCUGAAAGCAUCUAAGCACGAAACUUGCCCCGAGAUGAGUUCU